GGGCAGCAGUAAGGAAUAUUGGACAAUGGACGAAAGUCUGAUCCAGCCAUGCCGCGUGAAGGAUUAAGGUCCUCUGGAUUGUAAACUUCUUUUAUAUGGGACGAAAAAAGGGCAUUCUUGUUCACUUGACGGUACCAUAUGAAUAAGCACCGGCUAACUCCGUGCCAGCAGCCGCGGUAAUACGGAGGGUGCAAGCGUUAUCCGGAUUCACUGGGUUUAAAGGGUGCGUAGGCGGGUAGAUAAGUCAGUGGUGAAAUCUCGGAGCUUAACUCCGAAACUGCCAUUGAUACUAUUUAUCUUGAAUAUUGUGGAGGUUUGCGGAAUAUGUCAUGUAGCGGUGAAAUGCUUAGAUAUGACAUAGAACACCUAUUGCGAAGGCAGCAGGCUACACAUAUAUUGACGCUGAGGCACGAAAGCGUGGGGAUCAAACAGGAUUAGAUACCCGAGUAGUC
This 452-nucleotide ribosomal RNA is filed under the name uncultured Chitinophagaceae bacterium. RNAcentral's name for it is "bacterial SSU rRNA". It matches the Rfam family "Bacterial small subunit ribosomal RNA", at positions 346 to 795 of the family's 1533-position model. The record is from RNAcentral. Lineage: Bacteria; Pseudomonadati; Bacteroidota; Chitinophagia; Chitinophagales; Chitinophagaceae.